Molecule: ribosomal RNA, 458 nt
Filed under: uncultured bacterium
Lineage: Bacteria
Description: partial 16S rRNA
Source: RNAcentral
GCACGUAGUUAGCCGGUGCUUCUUCUGCAGGUACCGUCAAUUUCGUCCCUGCUGAAAGCGGUUUACAACCCGAAGGCCUUCAUCCCGCACGCGGCGUCGCUGCAUCAGGGUUUCCCCCAUUGUGCAAUAUUCCCCACUGCUGCCUCCCGUAGGAGUCUGGGCCGUGUCUCAGUCCCAGUGUGGCCGGUCGCCCUCUCAGGCCGGCUACCCGUCGUCGCCUUGGUAAGCCAUUACCUCACCAACAAGCUGAUAGGCCGCGAGUCCAUCCCCCACCGAAAAAACUUUCCACCCCCCGCCAUGAGACAGGAAGUCAUAUCCGGUAUUAGACCCAGUUUCCCGGGCUUAUCCCAGAGUGAAGGGCAGGUUACUCACGUGUUACUCACCCGUUCGCCGCUCGAGUACCCCGAAGGGCCUUUCCGCUCGACUUGCAUGUGUUAAGCACGCCGCCAGCGUUCGUC